This is a long non-coding RNA of Dermochelys coriacea (leatherback sea turtle), 102 nucleotides long. RefSeq lists it as uncharacterized. NCBI's taxonomy places the organism in Eukaryota, Metazoa, Chordata, Testudines, Dermochelyidae. The transcript is spliced from 3 exons. The record is from RefSeq and is a predicted model, not a curated record.
GGGACCAAUGUGGGCCCCAAGGGCACCAUGAAGAUGCUGGUGUCCGGGGCUGGAGAGAUCAAGCUUACCAAAGAUGGCAACGUGCUGCUUCACGAGAUGGUG